UCAGAGAAAACAAGCAACUUUACAAUACGAAUUACCAAAACCAAUCCACACUUUCGUAUUAAUUCUCAAAUCUUGAACAAUUAUCACUAGUAUAACGUGUGUGUGUGAUCAACAUCUAAGAUAACUGAUACCGACCCAAAUUCAAUACAUAAACAACUUCUUAGAAGGAAUCAUACAGUGCAAUCUUAAAAAUUUCAACGAUAGGCACAACCCAACUAAAAUUAAACAAUAACAAAUUCAAGGGUACAUGCAGGAUACUUAUACUUUCUUCUUUCUUUCUUUCUGUUUUUUAACACGAGGGCUUUUUGCUCUUUUCCCGUCAUUAUUCCCUUUUUUUAAAAUAGAUGGUUGGUGAGUGCGUUUUACGCUCCAUCUCAUGCUUGUGUUUAUGGGGAGUGUUUCUCCUCAACCCACCACAAGACUCAACAUGUUUCAUCAUUAUUUUUUCUAUUUUUUUUUCAAAGCUUAUAUACCCCACAUAUACUCCCCCAAACUUAGGUUCUUGCCUAAUUUAAGCCUUUACUGCCUAUCCUUGUCAUUUUCUGGUUCACCCUAGCAUUAUCCUUUAAAAACUAUUUAUGUAUCAAUUUGAACUGACCGGUCAAC
This 606-nucleotide long non-coding RNA is filed under the name Panax ginseng (ginseng). RNAcentral describes it as "long non-coding RNA (PGIN_LNC006665)". Lineage: Eukaryota; Viridiplantae; Streptophyta; Magnoliopsida; Apiales; Araliaceae. The record is from RNAcentral.